Molecule: ribosomal RNA, 440 nt
Filed under: uncultured bacterium
Lineage: Bacteria
Description: partial 16S ribosomal RNA
Rfam family: Bacterial small subunit ribosomal RNA
Source: RNAcentral
CCUACGGGUGGCAGCAGUGGGGAAUAUUGCACAAUGGGGGAAACCCUGAUGCAGCGACGCCGCGUGAGUGAAGAAGUAUCUCGGUACGUACAGCUCUAUCAGCAGGGAAGAACAUGACGGUUCCUCACUAAGAAUCCCCUGCUAACUACUUCCCAGCAGCCGCGGUAAUACUUAUUGGGAAAGCCUUAUCCGGCUUUACUGGGUGUAAAGGGAGCGUAUUUUGUUGUGCAAGUCUGAUGUGAAAGGGCGGGGCCCAACCCCGGGAGUGCAUUGGAAACUGGUGAAUUGGAGUACAGGAGAGGAAAGCGGAAUUCCUAGUGUAGCGGGGAAAUGAGUAGAUAUUAGGAGGAACACCAGUGGCGAAGGCGGAUUACUGGAAUGUAACUGACGUUGAGGCGCGAAAGCGUGGGGAGCAAACAGGAUUAGAUACCCUGGUAGUA